CAGCAGCCGCGGGAAAACGUAGGUGGCAAGCGUUGUCCGGAAUUAUUGGGCGUAAAGGGCUCGCAGGCGGUUUCUUAAGUCUGAUGUGAAAGCCCCCGGCUCAACCGGGGAGGGUCAUUGGAAACUGGGAAACUUGAGUGCAGAAGAGGAGAGUGGAAUUCCACGUGUAGCGGUGAAAUGCGUAGAGAUGUGGAGGAACACCAGUGGCGAAGGCGACUCUCUGGUCUGUAACUGACGCUGAGGAGCGGAAGCGUGGGGAGCGAACAGGAUUAGAUACCCCUGUAGUCCCUGUCUCUUAUAC
RNAcentral lists this ribosomal RNA (301 nucleotides) under uncultured bacterium. Its description in RNAcentral is "partial 16S ribosomal RNA". It matches the Rfam family "Bacterial small subunit ribosomal RNA", at positions 509 to 807 of the family's 1533-position model. The record is from RNAcentral.